RNAcentral lists this ribosomal RNA (387 nucleotides) under Triticum aestivum (bread wheat). RNAcentral's name for it is "partial small subunit ribosomal RNA". Lineage: Eukaryota; Viridiplantae; Streptophyta; Magnoliopsida; Poales; Poaceae. The record is from RNAcentral.
AUGAAUAUUAUCCAACACAAUUAUCCAUCGUUGAUCCAAUGCCUACGAGCUCUUCAUAUAUUGAUCCUUGCUAAGUUACUUUCACUGUUGCUACUAUUACAAUCACUACAAAACCACUACUGUUACUAUUGCCACUGUUACUGUUACAAUCAUACUACUUUGCUACUGAUCACCUUGCUGCAGAUAUUAAGUCUUUCAUGUGUGGUUGAAUUGACAACCCAACUGCUAAUACUUGUGAAUAUUCUUUCGCUCCCCUUGUGUCAAAUCAAUAAAUUUGGGUUGAAUACUCUACACUUGAAAACUAUUGCGAUCCCCUAUACUUGUGGAUUAUCAAGACAUUUUUCUCCCUCCACCACCACUUACUCUCUAAGAGAGCCAUCAAAAUGA